RNAcentral lists this long non-coding RNA (489 nucleotides) under Brassica napus (rape). RNAcentral describes it as "long non-coding RNA (BNAP_LNC018928)". Lineage: Eukaryota; Viridiplantae; Streptophyta; Magnoliopsida; Brassicales; Brassicaceae. The record is from RNAcentral.
UUGAUUUUAGUUUCUUCAUAUCAUAAUUCACGAUUAUCCGUCACGCAUUCUUCUGAUCUUGUCUUGCCACCAUUCUUCUCAUUGUCAGAUUCAUAACAAAGAGAAAGAGAUGAGAUGAAAGGUUUAUGUGAAAAGGGUUAGGCUGAUUGGUCUGUUCAAGAUCUCCAGGACUAAUCUCGAUGAAACAGUGUUGUGUAUGGUUGCGGGAAUCUCAGAUUCUGUUCUUCAUCUUCCUUAAACUUAGGGCUUUUCGGAGACCCUGAGAAGAAGAAAAGGCCAUGGGGAGAUGACGACAGUAGUGUGAGGAAUUGGGGGAAAGAUGAUCUUUCUGGAAAAAAAUAUUUUUCUUUCACGUUUUCUUUUUUCUUGUUUGUGUGUGGAAAGAUGAUGACUGUGAUUCAUCUUCUUCAUUUUAUAGUUUUUUUUUAAUUUGCAGUUGUUACACAUCUCAGUGCUUCAGCAAAUUUUUUUAUUUUAAUGCUAUACGGG